RNAcentral lists this ribosomal RNA (450 nucleotides) under uncultured bacterium. RNAcentral describes it as "partial 16S ribosomal RNA". It matches the Rfam family "Bacterial small subunit ribosomal RNA", at positions 354 to 796 of the family's 1533-position model. The record is from RNAcentral.
GUGGGGAAUCUUCCGCAAUGGGCGAAAGUCUGACGGAGCGACGCCGCGUGAGUGAAGAAGGCCUUCGGGUCGUAAAGCUCUGUCAUCAGGGACGAACGGCCGGUGGAGUGGAAAGCCACCGGAUUGACGGUACCUGAGAAGGAAGCCACGGCUAACUACGUGCCAGCAGCCGCGGUAAUACGUAGGUGGCAAGCGUUGUCCGGAAUUAUUGGGCGUAAAGCGCGCGCAGGUGGGAUCUUAAGUCCAUUUUGAAAGUUCGGAGCUCAACUCCGUGAUGGGAUGGAAACUGGGAUUCUUGAGUACCGGAGAGGAAAGCGGAAUUCCCCGUGUAGCGGUGAAAUGCGUAGAUAUGGGGAGGAACACCAGUGGCGAAGGCGGCUUUCUGGACGGUGUCUGACACUGAGGCGCGAAAGCUAGGGGAGCGAACGGGAUUAGAAACCCCGGUAGUCC